GUUCAAUAAUAACAAGGGGCACAUUUGGUUCACUUCUAAAAUGGGAUUGGAAAUGGUUGUUUCCUAUUCCAAGAUUCUUGUUCCAAUUUCAUUUUUUUAGAUAAUCAAAUAUAAUUUAAUGGAAGUUCUAAAAUUUUAACUUAAGGGCCCUGCUUGUUUCAUGGAAAAAUAUCUUCAUACAUAACAUUUUCCACAUUUCUAGUAUUUGAGGCACUUCAAAGAUUGGUAAGUGAAAAAUGUUUUCCUAACAAGAAAACUAAGCCAUUUUCCAGACUAUUACCAACUCACAAAUCACAAAAAGACAAUAAUGUAUAAGGAAACUAUAAAAGCACAUGUUGACUAGUCCACAAACCACUGCUAAUUGCCUAUGACAAGCACA
This 379-nucleotide unclassified non-coding RNA is filed under the name Hevea brasiliensis (rubber tree). The record is from RNAcentral. Lineage: Eukaryota; Viridiplantae; Streptophyta; Magnoliopsida; Malpighiales; Euphorbiaceae.